CAGAGAGUACUGCUUUAGAGUUCCCUUUUCUUUCUCCAAAGACAUAACUCCUUUGUUUUUCUCUCCCUCUCUCUCUCUCUUUCUCUCUCCUGUUCUUGUUCUUGUUCCGGAGGAUGGACCGCUAGAAAUUUAUCACCAGAACUUGGAUCACAGCAAAAGGAAAGUGGUUGAUUGAGAUCUAUAAAGGCUGGAAGAGGAUCCGGCCGAUGUAGUUAGGACCUUUCUGCAUCACUCGCUGGAAAAUUUUCUGCUCACAAAAUGCAUGUUCGUUGCAUUUGAAGGGUGUAAUUGUGGUCAUUUUCACCUUCAUUGUAUAAUCUUUAGCUGAAACGUGUUUUUCACAAGUUAUGAUUUAAUUUUUUAGUUAUUUUUAUAU
This is a non-coding RNA of Arachis ipaensis, 376 nucleotides long. The record is from RefSeq and is a predicted model, not a curated record. Lineage: Eukaryota; Viridiplantae; Streptophyta; Magnoliopsida; Fabales; Fabaceae.